This 2904-nucleotide ribosomal RNA is filed under the name Escherichia coli STEC_DG131-3. Its description in RNAcentral is "23S ribosomal RNA". The record is from RNAcentral. Lineage: Bacteria; Pseudomonadati; Pseudomonadota; Gammaproteobacteria; Enterobacterales; Enterobacteriaceae.
AAGGUUAAGCCUCACGGUUCAUUAGUACCGGUUAGCUCAACGCAUCGCUGCGCUUACACACCCGGCCUAUCAACGUCGUCGUCUUCAACGUUCCUUCAGGACCCUUAAAGGGUCAGGGAGAACUCAUCUCGGGGCAAGUUUCGUGCUUAGAUGCUUUCAGCACUUAUCUCUUCCGCAUUUAGCUACCGGGCAGUGCCAUUGGCAUGACAACCCGAACACCAGUGAUGCGUCCACUCCGGUCCUCUCGUACUAGGAGCAGCCCCCCUCAGUUCUCCAGCGCCCACGGCAGAUAGGGACCGAACUGUCUCACGACGUUCUAAACCCAGCUCGCGUACCACUUUAAAUGGCGAACAGCCAUACCCUUGGGACCUACUUCAGCCCCAGGAUGUGAUGAGCCGACAUCGAGGUGCCAAACACCGCCGUCGAUAUGAACUCUUGGGCGGUAUCAGCCUGUUAUCCCCGGAGUACCUUUUAUCCGUUGAGCGAUGGCCCUUCCAUUCAGAACCACCGGAUCACUAUGACCUGCUUUCGCACCUGCUCGCGCCGUCACGCUCGCAGUCAAGCUGGCUUAUGCCAUUGCACUAACCUCCUGAUGUCCGACCAGGAUUAGCCAACCUUCGUGCUCCUCCGUUACUCUUUAGGAGGAGACCGCCCCAGUCAAACUACCCACCAGACACUGUCCGCAACCCGGAUUACGGGUCAACGUUAGAACAUCAAACAUUAAAGGGUGGUAUUUCAAGGUCGGCUCCAUGCAGACUGGCGUCCACACUUCAAAGCCUCCCACCUAUCCUACACAUCAAGGCUCAAUGUUCAGUGUCAAGCUAUAGUAAAGGUUCACGGGGUCUUUCCGUCUUGCCGCGGGUACACUGCAUCUUCACAGCGAGUUCAAUUUCACUGAGUCUCGGGUGGAGACAGCCUGGCCAUCAUUACGCCAUUCGUGCAGGUCGGAACUUACCCGACAAGGAAUUUCGCUACCUUAGGACCGUUAUAGUUACGGCCGCCGUUUACCGGGGCUUCGAUCAAGAGCUUCGCUUGCGCUAACCCCAUCAAUAACCUUCCGGCACCGGGCAGGCGUCACACCGUAUACGUCCACUUUCGUGUUUGCACAGUGCUGUGUUUUUAAUAAACAGUUGCAGCCAGCUGGUAUCUUCGACUGAUUUCAGCUCCAUCCGCGAGGGACUUCACCUACAUAUCAGCGUGCCUUCUCCCGAAGUUACGGCACCAUUUUGCCUAGUUCCUUCACCCGAGUUCUCUCAAGCGCCUUGGUAUUCUCUACCUGACCACCUGUGUCGGUUUGGGGUACGAUUUGAUGUUACCUGAUGCUUAGAGGCUUUUCCUGGAAGCAGGGCAUUUGUUGCUUCAGCACCGUAGUGCCUCGUCAUCACGCCUCAGCCUUGAUUUUCCGGAUUUGCCUGGAAAACCAGCCUACACGCUUAAACCGGGACAACCGUCGCCCGGCCAACAUAGCCUUCUCCGUCCCCCCUUCGCAGUAACACCAAGUACAGGAAUAUUAACCUGUUUCCCAUCGACUACGCCUUUCGGCCUCGCCUUAGGGGUCGACUCACCCUGCCCCGAUUAACGUUGGACAGGAACCCUUGGUCUUCCGGCGAGCGGGCUUUUCACCCGCUUUAUCGUUACUUAUGUCAGCAUUCGCACUUCUGAUACCUCCAGCAUACCUCACAGCACACCUUCACAGGCUUACAGAACGCUCCCCUACCCAACAACGCAUAAGCGUCGCUGCCGCAGCUUCGGUGCAUGGUUUAGCCCCGUUACAUCUUCCGCGCAGGCCGACUCGACCAGUGAGCUAUUACGCUUUCUUUAAAUGAUGGCUGCUUCUAAGCCAACAUCCUGGCUGUCUGGGCCUUCCCACAUCGUUUCCCACUUACCAUGACUUUGGGACCUUAGCUGGCGGUCUGGGUUGUUUCCCUCUUCACGACGGACGUUAGCACCCGCCGUGUGUCUCCCGUGAUAACAUUCUCCGGUAUUCGCAGUUUGCAUCGGGUUGGUAAGUCGGGAUGACCCCCUUGCCGAAACAGUGCUCUACCCCCGGAGAUGAAUUCACGAGGCGCUACCUAAAUAGCUUUCGGGGAGAACCAGCUAUCUCCCGGUUUGAUUGGCCUUUCACCCCCAGCCACAAGUCAUCCGCUAAUUUUUCAACAUUAGUCGGUUCGGUCCUCCAGUUAGUGUUACCCAACCUUCAACCUGCCCAUGGCUAGAUCACCGGGUUUCGGGUCUAUACCCUGCAACUUAACGCCCAGUUAAGACUCGGUUUCCCUUCGGCUCCCCUAUUCGGUUAACCUUGCUACAGAAUAUAAGUCGCUGACCCAUUAUACAAAAGGUACGCAGUCACACAGAUUGCUCUGUGCUCCCACUGCUUGUACGUACACGGUUUCAGGUUCUUUUUCACUCCCCUCGCCGGGGUUCUUUUCGCCUUUCCCUCACGGUACUGGUUCACUAUCGGUCAGUCAGGAGUAUUUAGCCUUGGAGGAUGGUCCCCCCAUAUUCAGACAGGAUACCACGUGUCCCGCCCUACUCAUCGAGCUCACAAUAUGUGCAUUUUUGUGUACGGGGCUGUCACCCUGUAUCGCACGCCUUUCCAGACGCUUCCACUAACACACACACUGAUUCAGGCUCUGGGCUGCUCCCCGUUCGCUCGCCGCUACUGGGGGAAUCUCGGUUGAUUUCGUUUUCCUCGGGGUACUUAGAUGUUUCAGUUCCCCCGGUUCGCCUCAUUAACCUAUGGAUUCAGUUAAUGAUAGUGUGACGAAUCUACACUGGGUUUCCCCAUUCGGAAAUCGCCGGUUAUAACGGUUCAUAUCACCUUACCGACGCUUAUCGCAGAUUAGCACGUCCUUCAUCGCCUCUGACUGCCAGGGCAUCCACCGUGUACGCUUAGUCGCUUAA